GAGAUGUUAGUAUACGCCUCGGAGUGAUGCUUCCUCUCACUCUAGGAUCUCUGCAGCCGCCCUCUCAGCUGACACGUCGGAGCAGAUUCUCUGCCUGGAAACAUCGGAAACUGAUCGGAACCGCCGUCAGACAGAGACACGGACCUCCCCGGAUCCCCAGGCGCCGAUUAGGUUUGAAAAUUGAUGAUGGGAGGAGGUCAGAGUCAUGAGAAGGAGGAUGAGGAGCGAAGAGGAGGAGCUGAAGAACAUAAGAAGCCUGAGGAUGCUGAAUCUGCUGAAGAGUCGUCAGGUGAGCUGCCUCAGUGCAGGAUCGGAAACAGGGUGGUGGACAACAUGUGCUUCAUGAUCUCGUGCACCAACUGGUAUUGAACUGGUGCAGACUGGGACUACUGGAGGAAGAUGGGUGAAACAUUCCAGAAGCAAACCUUCAGGAAGUUUGGUCUUUAGUUCCCAGGUUUAAUCAUAAAUCUGUUGAAAAACCAUCCAGGCUUUGUUUAUGGCUUCAAAUCUGUUAGUUUACUGCAGGAAGAGCAGAAAGGUUGCAUGAUGAGGUCAGAACCUGAGGUUCUGUUGGAUAGAGGAGGAUUCAUGGAGUCACCUUCUUAUUAUCUAUCUAAAAUUAAUCUGAUUACCUUCAUCGCUGCAUCAGGCUUGAUCCUGCAAAAGCUGAAAUCAGAAUUUGUACAUUUGUAGCAGCGCUCUAAUGGCUGAAGGUAGAAACAUGGCUGCUGCUGUUAAGUUUUCUUUUUUUUUGAAUCAAUGAUCAGGAGAAGUUUUGGUCAAGUCAGAGUUCUUCAUCCGUGCUUCCACUGAAAUGCUUCAGUUUCUCUGCAGCUUCAGCAGAAAAGAUGCAACAGCUGGUGAUGUGGAGCUGAUUCCUCUGGAUUUAAACUGAUGCUCUGAUGAUAAAGAUUAAAAUGAAAAGAUAAUGGAUUUCUGAGGUUGUUUUAGAGUGUUUCACAUUGGAUCAAUAAAUUCUUUGCAUUAGAAAAUCUAUGAAUAAAAAUACAAAUAAAAGAAUUGAAAAGCUU
Molecule: long non-coding RNA, 1031 nt
Organism: Xiphophorus hellerii (green swordtail)
Lineage: Eukaryota; Metazoa; Chordata; Actinopteri; Cyprinodontiformes; Poeciliidae
Exons: 3
Source: RefSeq, a predicted model, not a curated record